RNAcentral lists this unclassified non-coding RNA (183 nucleotides) under Glomeraceae sp. RNAcentral's name for it is "partial contains 5.8S ribosomal RNA and internal transcribed spacer 2". The stretch from base 1 to 71 matches the Rfam family "5.8S ribosomal RNA", at positions 84 to 154 of the family's 154-position model. The record is from RNAcentral. Lineage: Eukaryota; Fungi; Glomeromycota; Glomeromycetes; Glomerales; Glomeraceae.
GUGAAUCAUCGAAUCUUUGAACGCAAAUUGCACUUUCUGGUACUCCGGAAAGUAUGCCUGUUUGAGGGUCAGUUAAAUAAAAAUCGCUGUUGUUGCUGCUUUUCGUAGUGACGCGUCGGAAUUGGGUCGUCUUACCUUCGUAUAAGUAACUUAAAAUUAUUGCAUGAUUUUAGAACGUAUUUA